This 253-nucleotide ribosomal RNA is filed under the name uncultured bacterium. Its description in RNAcentral is "partial 16S ribosomal RNA". It matches the Rfam family "Bacterial small subunit ribosomal RNA", at positions 524 to 776 of the family's 1533-position model. The record is from RNAcentral.
UACAGAGGUCUCAAGCGUUGUUCGGAUUCAUUGGGCGUAAAGGGUGCGUAGGUGGCGCGGUAAGUCGGGUGUGAAAUUUCGGAGCUUAACUCCGAAACUGCAUUCGAUACUGCCGUGCUUGAGGACUGGAGAGGAGACUGGAAUUUACGGUGUAGCAGUGAAAUGCGUAGAGAUCGUAAGGAAGACCAGUGGCGAAGGCGGGUCUCUGGACAGUUCCUGACACUGAGGCACGAAGGCCAGGGGAGCGAACAGG